This 662-nucleotide ribosomal RNA is filed under the name Vibrio sp. L536. RNAcentral describes it as "bacterial SSU rRNA". It matches the Rfam family "Bacterial small subunit ribosomal RNA", at positions 67 to 714 of the family's 1533-position model. The record is from RNAcentral. Lineage: Bacteria; Pseudomonadati; Pseudomonadota; Gammaproteobacteria; Vibrionales; Vibrionaceae.
CGACAACAUUGAAUCUUCGGAGGAUUUGUUGGGCGUCGAGCGGCGGACGGGUGAGUAAUGCCUAGGAAAUUGCCUUGAUGUGGGGGAUAACCAUUGGAAACGAUGGCUAAUACCGCAUAAUGCCUACGGGCCAAAGAGGGGGAUCUUCGGACCUCUCGCGUCAAGAUAUGCCUAGGUGGGAUUAGCUAGUUGGUGAGGUAAUGGCUCACCAAGGCGACGAUCCCUAGCUGGUCUGAGAGGAUGAUCAGCCACACUGGAACUGAGACACGGUCCAGACUCCUACGGGAGGCAGCAGUGGGGAAUAUUGCACAAUGGGCGAAAGCCUGAUGCAGCCAUGCCGCGUGUAUGAAGAAGGCCUUCGGGUUGUAAAGUACUUUCAGUUGUGAGGAAGGGGGUAGCGUUAAUAGCGCUAUCUCUUGACGUUAGCAACAGAAGAAGCACCGGCUAACUCCGUGCCAGCAGCCGCGGUAAUACGGAGGGUGCGAGCGUUAAUCGGAAUUACUGGGCGUAAAGCGCAUGCAGGUGGUUCAUUAAGUCAGAUGUGAAAGCCCGGGGCUCAACCUCGGAACUGCAUUUGAAACUGGUGAACUAGAGUGCUGUAGAGGGGGGUAGAAUUUCAGGUGUAGCGGUGAAAUGCGUAGAGAUCUGAAGGAAUACCAGUG